GAUGAACGCUGGCGGCGUGCCUAAUACAUGCAAGUCGAGCGAACAGACGAGGAGCUUGCUCCUCUGACGUUAGCGGCGGACGGGUGAGUAACACGUGGAUAACCUACCUAUAAGACUGGGAUAACUUCGGGAAACCGGAGCUAAUACCGGAUAAUCUAUUGAACCGCAGGGUUCAUUGGUAAAAGACGGUUUUGCGGUAACUUAUAGCUGGAUCCGCGCCGCAUUAGCUGGUUGUUACGGAAACGGCUUACCAAGGCAACGAUGCGUAGCCGACCUGAGAGGGUGAUCGGCCGCACUGGAACUGAGACACGGUCCAGAGUCCUGCGGGAGGCAGCAGUAGGGAAUCUUCCGCAAUGGGCGAAAGCCUGACGGAGCAACGCCGCGUGAGUGAUGAAGGUCUUCGGAUCGUAAAACUCUGUUAUGAGGGAAGAACAAAUGUGUAAGUAACUAUGCACGUCUUGACGGUACCUAAUCAGAAAGCCACGGCUAACUACGUG
Molecule: ribosomal RNA, 497 nt
Filed under: uncultured bacterium
Lineage: Bacteria
Description: partial 16S ribosomal RNA
Rfam family: Bacterial small subunit ribosomal RNA
Source: RNAcentral